This 3433-nucleotide unclassified non-coding RNA is filed under the name Helicoverpa zea (corn earworm). RNAcentral's name for it is "phosphatidate phosphatase LPIN2, transcript variant X3". The record is from RNAcentral. Lineage: Eukaryota; Metazoa; Arthropoda; Insecta; Lepidoptera; Noctuidae.
AUCAGCCACUCACAGGCAGUUUACUGGUAGAGUCGGCGCGGCCAACACGUGUCGAAAUCUUACCUGUGUUCGGAAUUGUGUACGAUAAUUACAGCUGACUGUAAUUUUGUUUGUAUAAAACAUUUUGUGCCUUGGAGACAUCACAGUGUAACUUUAUCUCCUCAACCGUUCCUAAGGAAACCUAAUGUUUUUGAUCUCAACCCCAAGAUGGGGUAAUUUAUAAGACAAUAAGUAAUUUAGAAUAUUGUGUUUAGUGAAGUGAAAAAUAUAGUUGAACGAGAGACUGACAAAUCAGCAGCCAUGUAUUCUAUGAACUAUAUUGGCAAGUUCAUUGCGAACUUUCGCGAUUUUUACAAUGAGAUCAAUGGUGCGACGCUGACGGGCGCCAUCGACGUGGUGGUAGUCGAGCAGCCUGAUGGCAGCUUCACGUGCUCGCCCUUCCAUGUCCGCUUUGGGAAGCUCGGCGUACUGCGCUCCAGAUUCAAAGUGGUGGAUCUCGAACUGAAUGGAGAGCCGCUGGACAUUCACAUGAAGCUCGGAGAGUCCGGCGAAGCAUUUUUUGUCGAAGAAGUGGGAGAAGAUGAGGCAGAGUGUUCAGCGCACCUGGCCACCUCGCCCAUCCCGGCUGCCCGCUUCGAAGAUCUGUACGAGCCUCGACGGAGAAACUCGCUCUCUGUGGUCGAGCCUGAUCAUGGACAGGCCUCUGAUUAUACUAAGAGAAGAUACACUGCCGACGGACAAUCUAUGCAGAAACCAGACUUAAGUAAGAUAACUAAAAAAACUACCAAAGAGGAUACCACUCAUGACGACACUGAUGCUCUAUUUGAAAUGGAUGGUCUCGACGAGGCCACUGACAAAGUUGAGGGUUUAGCGCCCAGAACCUUCGCGGCUACCCAGCUCGGCGGCGCAGAGAGCGAAGCGCACCAGGUGAUCCAGAAGAUCAGCGCUCACAACGACUUCAGGCCUAUCGAAGCCGUGCCAUCAAACCAGGACGACGUCAAACCAAACGGCGGUAACGGGAAGAAGAAGAAGAAAACAAGAAAAGCGAGUUCGAAGAAGCAUCAAAGAAAGUCCUCGACAAGUUCAAUUUCGAGUCAGUCGGACCGCGCGGGUUCUGAGCAGCGCGCCACGCAGCCGGCGCCCAUUCCCAACGUGACUGACAUCAACUUCUACAGCGACACCGAGGUGCAUGCUGCCACCCUCAGUGAAGAGAUGUCCAACCUCAAGCUGAACGGCGACAACCGCAUCCCCCUGGCGUUGUCCGACACUGCGUUUGAGGUGCACGCCGCCUCCAGACACGCAGGUUCGCGUAGCGGCACGCCGGUGCAGUCAGACACGGAGGUGGAGCUGGGCGGCAGGCAGGGCGACAAGGCGUCGCAGUCGUGGCGUUGGGGCGAGCUGCCCGAGCCGCCCGUGCGCGCCGACCCCGCGGCCGCGGCCGCCUCGGCCGACUCGCCCGCGUCGCCCGCGUCCCCGGCCGAGCCGCUCAGCUCGGACGAGGAGCGGCCCAGCCGGCGCGGCGUGCUCAGCGGCAUGUUCCGCUUCAUGUCCCCGCGCGACGACGUGCCCGCCGAGGGCGUCUACCUAGACGAUCUGGACCGAGGCCAGGUCGACCCUGAUCUCUAUUUCCCGAAGCACCACGCAGACAGAUAUCGAUCUGGUGAGAUCAUUUGUGCGAGAAGUGGUUCUCACCCGAGCUCUGGCCCCACGGAAGAGGAGUACGAGUCUGGUAACGGGCCCUCGCUGCCACAGUCGCCCGCCUCGCUAGAACCACCUGCACUCGACUCCGAUGAUGAUGAGAAACUUCUUGCCAAGGGCCAGGUGGGCGUGUACGUGCAGGAGGCGGACGGGUCCCGGGAGCUGUCGUUCAUGGAGUUCUGCCUGCGCGCCGGCGCGCUGGCGGCGGAGGGCCGCCUCGUGGUGCGCGUGGGCGACCGCGCCAUGCCCUGGCGCUCCGCCGGCCCGCUGCUGCUGUCGCUGCUGGCGUACCGCCGCCCGCUGCCCUCUCUGGUAUUAGAAUCUCUAGAGAAGAACGAGAAGGACGAGUCUCAGUCGCGUCCGUCGGGUCCGUCGGACAGCACCGCCAAGCCGCGCGGCUACUCCUGGUGGAGCUGGCGGCGGUCCACUGCUGACUCCAAGCGCCCUGAAGCAUCUCCACCCAAAGAUGACAUGACAAAAGAAACUGUAGCCCAAAUUGAAGUGGCCUCAGAGCCUAAGACCGUGACUGUGCGGGAACCUCACGAGGAGAAACAGAAUUCCGUCGAAGAAAAACCUGAGGAAGCGAGGGAAGUAGACAUCGUUGAAGACAUGAAGCCCAUGGAUUUCCUAGAGGACAGCCAACAACUACCACAGAUUGUCGAAAAUCAAGAUCAAGUAGAUCGACACGACCACAGCUCGUCCGACUCAGAUCAAGACGGACAAGUCAAGAGGCCUAAUCGCAGACAUUCAUCCUUCAGAAAAACUCUUCGAUUAUCUUCUGAACAAAUUAAAAAUCUAAAUCUCCGCGAAGGUAUGAAUGAAAUGGUGUUCAGUGUGACCACGGCUUACCAAGGCACCACGCGGUGCAAAUGUAACGUCUUCCGGUGGAGAUAUGACGACAAAAUUGUCAUCUCAGAUAUCGACGGCACUAUCACCAAGUCUGAUGUUUUGGGCCACAUUUUCCCGUUAGUCGGCAAAGAUUGGGCGCAGGCUGGAGUGGCGCAGCUAUUCACUAAGAUCAAGAAUAAUGGAUACCAGUUAUUGUACUUGUCAGCAAGAGCUAUUGGACAAGCCAGAGUGACACGCGAGUACCUUCGCUCAAUCAGACAAGGCGAGCUUUCUUUGCCCGACGGGCCUCUACUACUGAACCCCACGUCGUUACUCCGCGCCUUCCAUCGGGAAGUCAUUGAGAAGAAGCCUGAAGAGUUCAAGAUCCAGUGCCUCGCCGAUAUCAAGGCGCUGUUCCCGCAGGGCUCGAAUCCUUUCUAUGCGGGCUAUGGCAAUAGAGUCAAUGAUGUAUGCGCAUAUCAAGCAGUUGGCAUUCCGAUCGUGAGAAUUUUCACAAUCAAUUACAAGGGAGAACUAAAACACGAACUGACUCAAACAUUCCAAUCCACUUACCACGUGCAAAGUGACAUGGUCGAUGAUUUCUUCCCACCACAGUCAACUGAAAUAAUAGUUAGCUAGCGCGAGGUUUAGGUGUCAAAAUUAUAUAACUUUAGUUAUUGAAAAUUUCGCGAACACACGAUAAUAAGCCGGUACCCCCACAUGUCGGUGCUGGUGGACCAGGUGUUCCCGCCGGCGCAGUGCGAGCCCAGCGACGAGUUCUCGCAGACCGUGUUCUGGAGGGAGCCGCUCCCCGACGUCGAACUGCCCCCCGCAUGCCCACCGCCGCCCAAACAUCAUUAAUCACUUUACUACCCACUUUCUAUACACCUAUAUCUUAUCCAAAAAC